RNAcentral lists this ribosomal RNA (1036 nucleotides) under Sinodiaptomus sarsi. RNAcentral's name for it is "eukaryotic LSU rRNA". The stretch from base 800 to 1036 matches the Rfam family "Eukaryotic large subunit ribosomal RNA", at positions 1 to 225 of the family's 3401-position model. Lineage: Eukaryota; Metazoa; Arthropoda; Copepoda; Calanoida; Diaptomidae. The record is from RNAcentral.
GGAGGUCCUCGGACUGUUUGCCUGGCGGUUCACGCUGCCUCGCUAGUGGAAAGACGACCAAACUGUAGCGCUUAGAGGAAGUAAAAGUCGUAACAAGGUUUCCGUAGGUGAACCUGCGGAAGGAUCAUUAUCGAUUUUCCCAGCUUGUGCGGGGAGAAGCGAAUAAAAACCUCGGGCUCCCAUGCCUUGGGACCUUGGCCUGUCUGCCAUUGUCCGCCAGGUCGGUCCUUGAGCGCUUGCGGCUAUUUGGCUGCUUGGGCUCGGCCGACCGCCCGGUCGGAGGUGCUGUGCGCCGUUGUCGAAUCCCAUUCGAAAGGCGGUAAUUCAGCGUUUAAAGAGCCUCGCCUCCGGCUCGGGUUCUGUGCUCCCCCUUGUUGGGCUUGUGGAAAACGGUACAGACAACAAACCUAACUGGCCUUAGCGCCGGAAACCCCAAAUACAACACUAUACAGUGGAUCAUUUGGCUCGGGGGUCGAUGAAGAACGGAGCUAACUCCGUGACGCAAUGUGAACUGCAGGACACAUGAACAUCGACAUUUUGAACGCAUAUUGCGGACAUGUGCUUGUUGCAUGUCCAUGUUUGGGUCAGGGUCGGUUGAACAUCCAUCAGAUCGCUUGCUCGUGUUCUGCAAUGGGCUGUCCUGCCUCCUCCACCGGGGGAAGCGGGUAGCCUCAAGUUGACUUGUGCAGUGCUCUGCCGAAUGACUCUUGGGUCGUAAAAAGCCUGGGUCGCCUGCAGAUAAGCCUUCACAGGGGAUCGGCCGUUAGCUGAGGCUUCGGUCGUGACAAACUUUCUCUUUCGACCUGACAUCAAGCAAGACUACCCGCCGAAUUUAAGCAUAUUAAUAAGCGGAGGAAAAGAAAACAACUGUGAUUCCCUUAGUAAUGGCGAAUGAAACGGGAAGAGCCCAUCGUCGAAUCGCAAGUCGUUCUGGCUUUGCGAAAUGUGACGUUUGGGAGGGUCUUCCACAGCUCGGACGAUCAGUCAAAGUCCAACUUGACAGUGGCCACAGUCCAUAGAGGGUGAUAGGCCCGUA